AUUAGGGCCAACCGCGUAGAGCUGAGCGGUUGUGCUGUUUCUUAGGCUGUCGAGGCUGUCUCCUACCAGACGGAAACCGAGGUGCAGGGAGGGGAGGGGAGGAUUUCGGAGCCGAAUGUUUUUCCUCCAGCUAGACUUUACACCAGAUGGUCACUUAGUCUCCCUAGGACAUGUUGUUACCUUUGGUUCCAGGAACUUUGGUCAAGGGCACCAAAGAGGGGUCUUACUAUGUAAGGCCAGGCUGGUCUCCAAUUUACAGAAAUCCACCUGUCUCUACCUCCUAAAUGCUGGGAUUAAAGGCACUUGCCAUGACACUUGGUAGGGUUUUUUAUUGUUGUUUUUGCCUGCAUGUGUGUAUGUGCACCAAGUGCAUGUCCAGUGCCCAAGAAGGUCAGAAGAGGGCUUUUAGGUCUUCUGGAACUAGAGUUACAGAUGGUUGUGA
Molecule: long non-coding RNA, 442 nt
Filed under: Mus pahari (shrew mouse)
Lineage: Eukaryota; Metazoa; Chordata; Mammalia; Rodentia; Muridae
Description: lncRNA (MGP_PahariEiJ_G0003049.1)
Source: RNAcentral